GUGGGGAAUAUUGGACAAUGGGCGCAAGCCUGAUCCAGCCAUACCGCGUGGGUGAAGAAGGCCUUCGGGUUGUAAAGCCCUUUUGUUGGGAAAGAAAUCCUGUCGGUUAAUACCUGGCGGGGAUGACGGUACCCAAAGAAUAAGCACCGGCUAACUUCGUGCCAGCAGCCGCGGUAAUACGAAGGGUGCAAGCGUUACUCGGAAUUACUGGGCGUAAAGCGUGCGUAGGUGGUGGUUUAAGUCCGUUGUGAAAGCCCUGGGCUCAACCUGGGAAUUGCAGUGGAUACUGGAUCACUAGAGUGUGGUAGAGGGAUGCGGAAUUUCUGGUGUAGCAGUGAAAUGCGUAGAGAUCAGAAGGAACAUCCGUGGCGAAGGCGGCAUCCUGGGCCAACACUGACACUGAGGCACGAAAGCGUGGGGAGCAAACAGGAUUAGAAACCCUUGUAGUCC
RNAcentral lists this ribosomal RNA (450 nucleotides) under uncultured bacterium. RNAcentral's name for it is "bacterial SSU rRNA". It matches the Rfam family "Bacterial small subunit ribosomal RNA", at positions 354 to 796 of the family's 1533-position model. The record is from RNAcentral.